Molecule: small nuclear RNA, 163 nt
Filed under: Pogona vitticeps (central bearded dragon)
Lineage: Eukaryota; Metazoa; Chordata; Lepidosauria; Squamata; Agamidae
Description: U1 spliceosomal RNA (ENSPVIG00000002243.1)
Rfam family: U1 spliceosomal RNA
About the family: U1 is a small nuclear RNA (snRNA) component of the spliceosome (involved in pre-mRNA splicing). Its 5' end forms complementary base pairs with the 5' splice junction, thus defining the 5' donor site of an intron. There are significant differences in sequence and secondary structure between metazoan and yeast U1 snRNAs, the latter being much longer (568 nucleotides as compared to 164 nucleotides in human).
Source: Rfam by way of RNAcentral
AUACUUACCUGACAGGGGAGAUACCAUGAUCAUGAAAGUGGUUUUUCCCAGGGUGAGGCUUAUCCAUUGCACUUUGGGUGUACUGAUCCCUGUGAUUUCCCAGAAUGUGGGCAACUCAACUGCAUAAUUUAUGGUAGUUGGUAACUGUGUUUGCUUUUCCCCC